GACGAACGCUGGCGGCGUGCUUAACACAUGCAAGUCGAACGGAAAGGCCCUGCUUUUGUGGGGUGCUCGAGUGGCGAACGGGUGAGUAACACGUGAGUAACCUGCCCUUGACUUUGGGAUAACUUCGGGAAACUGGGGCUAAUACCGGAUAGGAGCUCCUGCUGCAUGGUGGGGGUUGGAAAGUUUCGGCGGUUGGGGAUGGACUCGCGGCUUAUCAGCUUGUUGGUGGGGUAGUGGCUUACCAAGGCUUUGACGGGUAGCCGGCCUGAGAGGGUGACCGGCCACAUUGGGACUGAGAUACGGCCCAGACUCCUACGGGAGGCAGCAGUGGGGAAUAUUGCACAAUGGGCGGAAGCCUGAUGCAGCAACGCCGCGUGCGGGAUGACGGCCUUCGGGUUGUAAACCGCUUUCGCCUGUGACGAAGCGUGAGUGACGGUAAUGGGUAAAGAAGCACCGGCUAACUACGUGCCAGCAGCCGCGGUGAUACGUAGGGUGCGAGCGUUGUCCGGAUUUAUUGGGCGUAAAGGGCUCGUAGGUGGUUGAUCGCGUCGGAAGUGUAAUCUUGGGGCUUAACCCUGAGCGUGCUUUCGAUACGGGUUGACUUGAGGAAGGUAGGGGAGAAUGGAAUUCCUGGUGGAGCGGUGGAAUGCGCAGAUAUCAGGAGGAACACCAGUGGCGAAGGCGGUUCUCUGGGCCUUUCCUGACGCUGAGGAGCGAAAGCGUGGGGAGCGAACAGGCUUAGAUACCCUGGUAGCCCACGCUGUAAACGGUGGGUACUAGGUGUGGGGUCCAUUCCACGGGUUCCGUGCCGUAGCUAACGCUUUAAGUACCCCGCCUGGGGAGUACGGCCGCAAGGCUAAAACUCAAAGGAAUUGACGGGGCCCCGCACAAGCGGCGGAGCAUGCGGAUUAAUUCGAUGCAACGCGUAGAACCUUACCUGGGUUUGACAUGGAUCGGGAGCGCUCAGAGAUGGGUGUGCCUCUUUUGGGGUCGGUUCACAGGUGGUGCAUGGCUGUCGUCAGCUCGUGUCGUGAGAUGUUGGGUUAAGUCCCGCAACGAGCGCAACCCUUGUUCACUGUUGCCAGCACGUUAUGGCGGGGACUCAGUGGAGACCGCCGGGGUCAACUCGGAGGAAGGUGGGGAUGACGUCAAGUCAUCAUGCCCCUUAUGUCCAGGGCUUCACGCAUGCUACAAUGGCUGGUACAGAGAGUGGCGAGCCUGUGAGGGUGAGCGAAUCUCGGAAAGCCGGUCUCAGUUCGGAUUGGGGUCUGCAACUCGACCUCAUGAAGUCGGAGUCGCUAGUAAUCGCAGAUCAGCAACGCUGCGGUGAAUACGUUCCCGGG
RNAcentral lists this ribosomal RNA (1343 nucleotides) under uncultured bacterium. Its description in RNAcentral is "16S ribosomal RNA". It matches the Rfam family "Bacterial small subunit ribosomal RNA", at positions 28 to 1378 of the family's 1533-position model. The record is from RNAcentral.